Suncus etruscus (white-toothed pygmy shrew) is the source of this 102-nucleotide small nuclear RNA. The record is from RefSeq and is a predicted model, not a curated record. NCBI's taxonomy places the organism in Eukaryota, Metazoa, Chordata, Mammalia, Eulipotyphla, Soricidae.
UUUCUUAAAUUCUACAAAGUUCAUUCCCUUCCAAUACAGAGAAGAUUAGCAUAGCUCCUGCGCAAAGAUGACACUCAAAUUCGUGAAACUUUCCAUAUUUAA